AGAGUUUGAUCAUGGCUCAGGACGAACGCUGGCGGCGUGCCUAACACAUGCAAGUCGAGCGAAGUUUAUUUAGCAGCGACUUCGGUCAAAGCUGAUUAAACUUAGCGGCGAACGGGUGAGUAACACGUAGGCAACCUGCCCAUGACACGGGGAUAGCUUCGGGAAACCGGAGGUAAUACCCGAUACCUUUACUUAUUGCAUGAUAAGUAAAGAAAGCGAAUAGCGGUCAUGGAUGGGCCUGCGUCCCAUUAGCUAGUUGGUGAGAUAACAGCCCACCAAGGCGACGAUGGGUAGCCGACCUGAGAGGGUGACCGGCCACACUGGAACUGAGACACGGUCCAGACUCCUACGGGAGGCAGCAGUGGGGAAUCUUGCGCAAUGGGCGAAAGCCUGACGCAGCGACGCCGCGUGAGCGAAGAAGGCCUUCGGGUCGUAAAGCUCAGUCAUUGGGGAUGAGAUGACAGUACCCAAGGAGGAAGCCCCGGCUAACUACGUGCCAGCAGCCGCGGUAAUACGUAGGGGGCGAGCGUUGUCCGGAAUUACUGGGUGUAAAGGGCGUGUAGGCGGGGGUGCAAGUUACCGGUAAAAACCCAGGGCUCAACUCUGGGCUUGCCGGUAAAACUGCAUCUCUUGAGUGUAGGAGAGGGAAGUGGAAUUCCCGGAGUAGCGGUGAAAUGCGUAGAUACCGGGAGGAACACCAGUGGCGAAGGCGGCUUCCUGGCCUACAACUGACGCUGAGGCGCGAAAGCUAGGGUAGCGAACGGGAUUAGAUACCCCGGUAGUCCUAGCCGUAAACGAUGGUCACUAGGUGUGGGUGGUGGUCAAGCCAUCCGUGCCGGAGCUAACGCAAUAAGUGACCCACCUGGGGAGUACGGCCGCAAGGCUGAAACUCAAAUGAAUUGACGG
This 906-nucleotide ribosomal RNA is filed under the name uncultured bacterium. Its description in RNAcentral is "bacterial SSU rRNA". It matches the Rfam family "Bacterial small subunit ribosomal RNA", at positions 8 to 916 of the family's 1533-position model. The record is from RNAcentral.